GGCUGUGUGGCCCAGUGGUUAAGGCAUCUGCUUUACAAAAAUCGCAGAGGAUCGCAGGUUCGAGCCCUGCCACGGUCA
This is a non-coding RNA of Staphylotrichum longicolle, 78 nucleotides long. Lineage: Eukaryota; Fungi; Ascomycota; Sordariomycetes; Sordariales; Chaetomiaceae. The record is from the annotation of a GenBank genome assembly.